AUGGAGUUCCCGUUCGACGUGGCGGCCGUGCUGGGCGAGCGCGUCUCCGUGGUGGACCAGCACCUGCGGCCCAACGGGCGCCGAGGGCCCGCCCACCGGUACCGAGCCGCGGGCCUAAGCCUCAGGCUCGGGCCUGGGCUAGGCCUGCCCCGGUGCAUGCUGGGAAAAAAAAAGGGGGGGGGGGGGGGAGGGGGGGGGGGGGGGGCGCGGGGCAUGCUGGGAAGGGUGGGGCGAGCCCCGGUGCAUUGUGGGAUGGGUGGAGGCCAACUGGGCUCAUCCCAGUAUCAUCCCAGUACAUACUGGGAAGGAUGGAGGCCCCAUUACCCCUCCCCAGUACAUACUGGGAAUAAUGGAGGCCCCAUUACCCCUCCCCAGUACAUACUGGGAAUAAUGGAAGCCCAUUGACCUCAUCCUAGUCCAUACUGGGAAAGAUGGAGGCCAACUGGCCUCAUCCCAGUAUCAUCCCAGUACAUACUGGGAAGGAUGAAGG
Molecule: long non-coding RNA, 490 nt
Filed under: Anas platyrhynchos platyrhynchos (common mallard)
Lineage: Eukaryota; Metazoa; Chordata; Aves; Anseriformes; Anatidae
Description: lncRNA (ENSAPLG00000018273.1)
Source: RNAcentral